Molecule: ribosomal RNA, 253 nt
Filed under: uncultured prokaryote
Description: partial 16S ribosomal RNA
Rfam family: Bacterial small subunit ribosomal RNA
Source: RNAcentral
ACAGAGGGUGCAAGCGUUAAUCGGAAUUAUUGGGCGUAAAGGGUGCGUAGGUGGUUUGAUAAGUUAGGUGUGAAAGUCCUGGGCUUAACCUGGGGAUUGCGCCUAAUACUGUUAGGCUAGAGUACUGUAGAGGAAGGUGGAAUUUCCGGUGUAGCGGUGAAAUGCGUAGAUAUCGGAAGGAACAUCAGUGGCGAAGGCGACCUUCUGGACAGAUACUGACACUGAGGCACGAAAGCUUGGGGAGCAAACAGGA